GCCGCCCAGACGCGGGUUCGGGGCGGGGCCCCCCGAGACUAGUUAGUCGGGGGCUUAACUGAGGCCGCCCCCCGCCCAGCAGGCCUCGCCCGGGGCUCCGCUCGGUGCUCGCGGGGCGGGACGCGUGUUGAAAUAGCGCUUGAGACCCUGCGUGUUCCUUAGCCGGCAGGAGGACAUUUCCUAUACACCUUCUUAAAACCUUCAGAUGACCCCACCGCAAAGCCGGGCCAAUUUGAGGUUCAAAACACAGGGAAUAAUCAUAACGGAUUAUAACUUCGAAUAAAAUAAGAACCCACCAGUUGAUACUGAUCUAAAUAAGCAGGAGCGCCUGGGUGGCUCAGUGGGUUAGGCAUUUGAUUCUUGGUUUUGGAUGAGGUCAUGACCUUGGGGUGCUGGGAUUCAGCCCCUAAUGGGGGCCUUUGCUGGGGUUAGAGUCUUCCUGAGAUUCUCCCUCUCCCUCUGCCCUUCCUGCACCCCCACCCCGCUUAAGUACUCUCUUUUUCUUAAAAAAAAAAGGGAUAAAAAAAAAGUGGGGAGAAGGGAAAGCUGUUUCUCACCAAAGAAGGCCAACUAAGAAGCGCAGAAGGGAUGAUGCAGAAAAUCACCAUUUGUCAACCAUCCUGCUUAAUAGCCUAUGUGGGCGAAAAAUCAUCGAUGGCCACUAAAACUGGAGGGUGAAAGCUUAGCAAGGAAAUGGCAUCAAAAUUGGCAUCUAUGUACCCCAGCCUUGGAAAAGUGGUUUUAGUAAAGACAGUCAUCUUUGUUGUGAGAUUUUAUUUAUUCACUCAUGAGAGACACAUAGAGAGAGAAAAAGAGGCAGAGACA
This is a long non-coding RNA of Canis lupus familiaris (dog), 825 nucleotides long. RefSeq lists it as uncharacterized. The transcript has 3 exons. The record is from RefSeq and is a predicted model, not a curated record. Lineage: Eukaryota; Metazoa; Chordata; Mammalia; Carnivora; Canidae.